UUACUAUUUCGGUCAUCUCCGUUAGUUUUUUAAUGUGUAACAUUUCUGAUAUAAUUUCAACCAUUCGAUUGCAGGUCCGUUAUAUACAAUAGUGAACCAUCACCACAUAAUUUUUUUCCCUCUCUUCAUCUUAUUCCUUCCACCACUUCUUCAUAUUCAUACAAAAUUCAAGGAUUUUAUUUUUAUAAAAGGAACAUUUUAUUAAAUAAUUAAACCAACAUUACAAAUGGGCAUACAUUUCCAUCGUUAUUACCAUCUUCAUCCCUCUUCUUUGCCUUCAUUUUAUCACGAGGCUGCAACUUCGAAAGCCAACUCUCGCAGAAUCCAUUUCUUUGUCUCAACAAUUAACAACCUUUCCUUGUUCCUUCUAUGCAUGUUCAAACCCAAUUACAAAAAAUCAUAGGUUGCACAAAUAACUCCUAAAAAUAUGAUUUUUAAACAAAAAAAAAAUACAAAACAAAACCAGAUUAUUGUUCUUUCUUUCUGCUGAAAGAAAAUGAAAUUGAAAUUAAUGGAAAUCAUGCAUAUUCCAUUUUCACACUUUUUUUUUUUAUGAUGUUGUUGUUGUUGUUUCAAAGCACCAUGUUGUUGUUGUGUUGUUGAUGUGCUGAAUUUGGAGAAAUCUAUUUUUUUUUAAUUCAUGAUGAUGAUGAUGAAAAGAAUUAAAAAGGGUUGAAUUUGAUUUCUUGAUGUGUUGUUGCUCUAUUGAUGAUGAUUUCUGGAUUUUUGUAGAAAAAAAAAUCUGGGUUUUAAUUCUAUUUGAAUGUUUAAGUGUUUUAAUUUGAUGAAAUUUAUUAUUGUUUUAGUUUGAGUUUUCAAUAUGGUGCUACUGCUUUUUCCUGGAUAGGAUUGAUGAAGAUGAAGAAGAAGAAGAUGAGAGAUGAAGAUGAAGAAAAUGAUAAAAGNUAAAGAAAAAAUCAAAUGGUUAAAAUUAGAAAAUUUAAUAAGAUCUACGGUGAACCAUCUUUAAAUAUGGUUCACCUUAGAUUUUUUAUGUUAAAAACUAACGGAGAUGACCAAAAUGGUAAACGGCAGAAGAUUUAUGGGACUAAAUUGAGACACUUUAUAGUUAGGGG
RNAcentral lists this long non-coding RNA (1076 nucleotides) under Medicago truncatula (barrel medic). RNAcentral describes it as "long non-coding RNA (MTRU_LNC007146)". Lineage: Eukaryota; Viridiplantae; Streptophyta; Magnoliopsida; Fabales; Fabaceae. The record is from RNAcentral.